This 364-nucleotide unclassified non-coding RNA is filed under the name uncultured bacterium. Its description in RNAcentral is "contains 16S-23S intergenic spacer region". The record is from RNAcentral.
UCCCGGUUGGCCCGGGCAGUUUCGUAUGAAAAAUUCAACAUACGAUAAGGGUUGCGCUCGUUGCGGGACUUAACCCAACAUCUCACGACACGAGCUGAAGACGGCCAUGCAGCACCUGUCACCAGGCUCCAAAAGGCACUCCCGGCUUUCGCCAGGAUUCCUGGGAUGUCAAACCUCGGUAAGGUUCUACGCGUAGCUUCAUAUUAAACCACAUCAUCCUCUGCUUGUGCGGGUCCCCGUCAAUUCCUUUGAGUUUUAAGCUUGCGCUCGUACUCCCCAGGCGGUGUGCUUAACGCGUUAGCUGUUCAGCCCAAGGGGUCGAUACCUCGAACUAAUAGCACACAUCGUUUACGGCGUGGACUAC